UGGGGAAUUGUUCGCAAUGGGCGCAAGCCUGACGACGCAACGCCGCGUGGAGGAUGAAGAUUUUCGGAUCGUAAACUCCUUUCGAUCGGGACGAAUGGCUGGAGACAUAAUACGUCUUCAGAGUGACGGUACCGAGAGAAGAAGCCCCGGCUAACUCCGUGCCAGCAGCCGCGGUAAUACGGGGGGGGCAAGCGUUGUUCGGAAUUACUGGGCGUAAAGGGCGCGUAGGCGGAACAUUAAGUUAGGGGUGAAAGGCCUGGGCUCAACCUGGGAACGGCCUCUAAGACUGAUGAUCUUGAGUCCGGAAGAGGAUGGCGGAAUUCCCAGUGUAGAGGUGAAAUUCGUAGAUAUUGGGAGGAACACCAGUGGCGAAGGCGGCCACCUGGCCCGGCACUGACGCUGAGGCGCGAAAGCGUGGGGAGCAA
RNAcentral lists this ribosomal RNA (425 nucleotides) under uncultured bacterium. Its description in RNAcentral is "bacterial SSU rRNA". It matches the Rfam family "Bacterial small subunit ribosomal RNA", at positions 355 to 771 of the family's 1533-position model. The record is from RNAcentral.